AUUGAACGCUGGCGGCAGACCUAACACAUGCAAGUCGAACGGUAACAGGAAGAAGCUUGCUUCUUUGCUGACGAGUGGCGGACGGGUGAGUAAUGUCUGGGAAACUGCCUGAUGGAGGGGGAUAACUACUGGAAACGGUAGCUAAUACCGCAUAACGUCGCAAGACCAAAGAGGGGGACCUUCGGGCCUCUUGCCAUCGGAUGUGCCCAGACGGGAUUAGCUAGUAGGUGGGGUAACGGCUCACCUAGGCGACGAUCCCUAGCUGGUCUGAGAGGAUGACCAGCCACACUGGAACUGAGACACGGUCCAGACUCCUACGGGAGGCAGCAGUGGGGAAUAUUGCACAAUGGGCGCAAGCCUGAUGCAGCCAUGCCGCGUGUAUGAAGAAGGCCUUCGGGUUGUAAAGUACUUUCAGCGGGGAGGAAGGGAGUAAAGUUAAUCCCUUUGCUCAUUGACGUUACCCGCAGAAGAAGCACCGGCUAACUCCGUG
Molecule: ribosomal RNA, 490 nt
Filed under: uncultured bacterium
Lineage: Bacteria
Description: partial 16S ribosomal RNA
Rfam family: Bacterial small subunit ribosomal RNA
Source: RNAcentral